CCCUUAGAUGUUCGGGGCCGCACGCGCGCUACACUGAAGGAAUCAGCACGUCUUUCUCCUUGUCCGAAAGGACUGGGUAACCCGCUGAACCUCCUUCGUGCUAGGGAUUGGGGCUUGUAAUUCUUCCCCAUGAACGAGGAAUUCCCAGUAAGCGCGAGUCAUAAACUCGCGUUGAUUACGUCCCUGCCCUUUGUACACACCGCCCGUCGCUACUACCGAUUGGAUGGUUUAGUGAGAUCCUCGGAUUGGUCCCGGAGCGGCCUCUGGUCGUGCCGGAGUGCCGAAAAGAAUGUCGAACUUGAUCAUCUAGAGGAAGUAAAAGUCGUAACA
This 330-nucleotide ribosomal RNA is filed under the name uncultured eukaryote. Its description in RNAcentral is "partial 18S ribosomal RNA". It matches the Rfam family "Eukaryotic small subunit ribosomal RNA", at positions 1470 to 1796 of the family's 1831-position model. The record is from RNAcentral.